Molecule: transfer RNA, 85 nt
Filed under: Felis catus (domestic cat)
Lineage: Eukaryota; Metazoa; Chordata; Mammalia; Carnivora; Felidae
Rfam family: tRNA
About the family: Transfer RNA (tRNA) molecules are approximately 80 nucleotides in length. Their secondary structure includes four short double-helical elements and three loops (D, anti-codon, and T loops).
Source: Rfam by way of RNAcentral
GCCUGGGUAGCUCAGUCAGUUGAGCAUCCGACUUCAGCUCGGGUCAUGAUCUCACAGUCUGUGAGUUCGAGCCCCGCGUCGGGCU